This 460-nucleotide ribosomal RNA is filed under the name uncultured bacterium. RNAcentral's name for it is "partial 16S ribosomal RNA". It matches the Rfam family "Bacterial small subunit ribosomal RNA", at positions 338 to 795 of the family's 1533-position model. The record is from RNAcentral.
CCUACGGGAGGCAGCAGUGAGGAAUAUUGGUCAAUGGACGCAAGUCUGAACCAGCCAUGCCGCGUGCAGGAAGACGGCUCUAUGAGUUGUAAACUGCUUUUGUACGAGGGUAAACGCAGAUACGCGUAUCUUUCUGAAAGUAUCGUACGAAUAAGGAUCGGCUAACUCCGUGCCAGCAGCCGCGGUAAUACAGAGGAUUCAAGCGUUAUCCGGAUUUAUUGGGUUUAAAGGGUGCGUAGGCGGUCGGAUAAGUUAGAGGUGAAAUCCCGAGGCUCAACUUCGGAAUUGCCUCUGAUACUGGUCGGCUAGAGAGUAGUAGCGGUAGGCGGAAUGUAUGGUGUAGCGGUGAAAUGCUUAGAGAUCAGACAGAACACCGAUUGCGAAGGCAGCUUACCAAGCUACUUCUGACGUUGAGGCACGAAAGCGUGGGGAGCAAACAGGAUUAGAUACCCCAGUAGUC